UACGAAGGGUGCGAGCGUUAAUCGGAAUUACUGGGCGUAAAGCGUGCGCAGGCGGCUUUGCAAGACAGAUGUGAAAUCCCCGGGCUUAACCUGGGAACUGCAUUUGUGACUGCAUGGCUGGAGUGCGGCAGAGGGGGAUGGAAUUCCGCGUGUAGCAGUGAAAUGCGUAGAUAUGCGGAGGAACACCGAUGGCGAAGGCAAUCCCCUGGGCCUGCACUGACGCUCAUGCACGAAAGCGUGGGGAGCAAACAGG
Molecule: ribosomal RNA, 253 nt
Filed under: uncultured bacterium
Lineage: Bacteria
Description: partial 16S ribosomal RNA
Rfam family: Bacterial small subunit ribosomal RNA
Source: RNAcentral